RNAcentral lists this non-coding RNA (263 nucleotides) under Ensifer sp. The record is from RNAcentral. Lineage: Bacteria; Pseudomonadati; Pseudomonadota; Alphaproteobacteria; Hyphomicrobiales; Rhizobiaceae.
AAUCAUCAGAGAUCGAUUGGUUCCCGGGACACGAACGUGUUUCGGGAGUAAACGGGAACGUGACGGAUGGACCCAUGCUGGGCAUUCACAUCACGGCCGACCCCGCGACUGUAGAGCGACGUCGAUCUGCCAUUCCGGAGCGAUCCGGAAGAAGCCACUGGAAGAGACCACGAGAGGGUGGUCGAUCUGGGAAGGCGAGGCUGAUCCAGGGCUUCCCGCCCAGCGCCGUGAGCCAGGAAACCUGCCACUCGAUACGGGCAUAG